ACAUAAGCAAGAUAAGCUUCACACCCUUUUCUCAUGUAUUUUUGAGCCGACUAUGCGUAAUCACCGUAGGUAAUUUACUUGAUUCAUUUGUUUCAACCCGAAGAAUUUCACCAUUUUCACACUUCAAUUCAAGGAUUUUCUGCCUACAAUUUACCUUGGCAUCAUGCAACAUCAACCAAUCCAUCCCCAGAAUAACAUCAAACUCAUCAAAUGGUAACA
RNAcentral lists this long non-coding RNA (219 nucleotides) under Gossypium raimondii (Peruvian cotton). RNAcentral describes it as "long non-coding RNA (GRAI_LNC008239)". Lineage: Eukaryota; Viridiplantae; Streptophyta; Magnoliopsida; Malvales; Malvaceae. The record is from RNAcentral.